RNAcentral lists this long non-coding RNA (8198 nucleotides) under Nicotiana tabacum (common tobacco). RNAcentral describes it as "long non-coding RNA (NTAB_LNC009836)". Lineage: Eukaryota; Viridiplantae; Streptophyta; Magnoliopsida; Solanales; Solanaceae. The record is from RNAcentral.
UCGAAUCGGCCUCCACACGCAUCAAAUCUAUCCAAAAUUAGAACGAGGACGUCAAAAUAAGCUAAGGGAACAAAGCCCAAGCGAAAACAAUCAAUAAAGGGCACAAAUCCCGAAAUUACCAAAACCUGACCCCUAGGUCCACUUCUCGAAACUCAGAAAUUUUCACAACAAUUGAUUCCUUCUCUCCCCACGAGUUCGUACAUAUCAAAAGUUCUCAAAUCCGACACCAAAUGGUCCUUAAAAUCCCAAAUCAAAAGAACAAUUUUUCAAGCCCUAUUUCUUCAAUUUUAGGAUUAGUUUUCAUGAUUUUCUAGGUGGAAUUCACAUAAUAAUCUAGUUUUUAGUCCAAGAAUCUUACCUCCCAACAAUUCCCCUUGAAUAACUCUUCAAUCUCCUUCAAAAAUUUCCCAAAAUGGCCAACUAUAGAGGAAAUAAACCCAAUCCUCAUGGAUAAGAUGAGUUUAAAACAUUUCUGCCCAGGCAUAUAUUUCCUUCAUCGCGAUCGCGGAACAUCCCUCGCAAUCGCGAAGAACAAAACUUCAGCUCCAAGAAUUUACUCUAUGCGAACGCGAUACAGCCUACACGAAUGCGAUGCCCAGGAAACCUUACACUACGUGAUCGUGGACACACCUCCACAUUCGCAAUGCACAAAGAUCCAUCCAAGACUCAGGUCCAUUUAACUCUAUGCGAACGCGACUACCCUCCCACGUUCGCGAUGAAUAACUUUCCCACACUAUGCGAUCAUGAGCCUCUCUUUGCGAACGUGAAGAACAACUGGACAGCCUCCUCAAAUCCUUCUACGUGAUCGCAAAGCACAAAAUCCUGCAACAGUUGAACCUGCAAUUUUCUGCAAUUUUUUCAACUUCAAAUGAUCCGAUUGACCACUCGAAACUCACUCGAGGCCCCCGGGACCUCACCCAAAAGCACCAACACAUCCUAAAACCUUAUUCAAACUUGUUCCAAUCAUCAAAACACCUAAAACUACAUCAAAUCACCCAAAACACAUCAGAUUCAAGCCUAAGUUUCUAAAGUCUCCCGAAAUAUGCUUUUGAUCAAAAACCCAACCAAACCACGUCCGAAUGACCUGAAAUUUUGCACACACAUCUCAAAUGACACAAUGAAGCUACUGCAACUCUCAGAAUUCCAUUACAACCCCUAUAUCAAAAUCUCGCCUAUCAACCGGAAAUCGCCAAAAUAUCAACUUCGUCAAUUCAAGCCUAAUUCUACUCCGAACCUCCAAAACCCAUUCCGAUCACGCUCCUAAGCCAUAAAUCACCUCCCAAAGCUAACCAAACCAUCGAAACUCAGAUCCAAGCCCUCUAACACAUAAGUCAACAUCCGGUUGACUUUUCCAACUUAAACUCCCUUAAAAGAGACUAAGUGUCUCAAACCUUACCAAAAUCAUUCCAGAUUCGAUCCGACCAACCCGAUACCAUAAAACAUGAAUAAUGAAGCAUAAAGAAGCAGAAAUGAGAGAAACGGAGUGGUAACUCAUGAGACGAAUGGCCGGGUCAUCACAAUUUUUACCAUUAAGCCUCUCUCAUUUUGUUCUUUCUCUCAACUUAUCGUCGCCUUAUGGUGCCUGUGAAGGUUUUCACCGAUAAGACUCUCUCAUUUUGUUUUUUUAUUUUUAUUUCCUCUGAUUCUGUAGAUGACAAGACACUGACCAUAGUAAAAAUAUCAUAUGCUCCUGGCAUGUCUAGCUCGACACUCUUAAAGAUUAUCUGGGAGGUCUUUUUGGACUUUAAUGUGGCUUUUGGACAGGGAUAGAAAGAAAAGAUAUCAUAAAGGCUCAAAAUAACUAAAACAACGAGGUUAAUUAACUUACAACUUUUGGAAUCCAUUCUAAAACUUUGUCCCAAUUUCUAAAACAAGGGAAUUUGAUUCUUUUUUUCUCUUUUUCUUUUUGAGACGGUAUUUCUAAGAAAGACUGCCCCACUCUCGACUUUGUGGGAUUAUGAAAUAUUUUAUUUGGUGCAACUGAACUUUAAGGCUGCCGACAUAUCUUUUGGUGACAAGAAUCAGGUCGAACGUAGUUCAAAAGGAUGCUUUCUAUUUGUUGCUAUUUUUCUUUUUUUCUCUCUUUUUUUCUCUUCUUUUUUUCUUUUUCCUUUUUUUUCUUUAUCUCUAUUUUUUUCUUCUUUUUUUUCUUUUAAAAUUUUCCUUUUGGAAUGAACUUUCUAAAACAAACCUAUGGGGACAUGAACUUUUUUUGCACUAAACUCGAUUCAAAAAGACGGGAGGUCAAGAAAAUUAACAUAGGCUCAAAAGGGGUACCGAAUGGUAUAAAGUGUUUGGGUAGCUGAAAGAGGGCCUCCCAAUCCCUGAAAAAGCCAAGUACGACACAUGAAACUUGAAAAUUAAAAAGGAAAAGCACACACAACAUUUCUUUUACAGCUUCGGCAUUGAUAUCACUGAUAUGCUUUCCACUUUUUUUCUGUGCCUUAUCAAGUACAAAACUCCUAUUGGGUGAUUCUUCUUCACGACGGAUAUCCUCCAUUUGUUUGGAGAAAACUCCCUUGGCUUUAUCUCGUAACAUGAGAUACACUUGAACUCAAAGUUGCUCGCUUCAAUAUGUCUGAGAUGCACUCUCUUGCAACAAAUUCCUGUCAUACUAUUAACUUCCCAGAUUAUCUGCCUCAAUUUCACACAAUUCGGGCUUUAAAUGAUCUCAAGAUGUCCAAAUUUUUGCCUACUUCCCUCAAAUGUCCCGAUCAUUUUCAAAAUUGUUUCAUUACUUCAUAACUAAACUAACUUUUAAAACUAGGCUGAGAAUUACGCGUACAUGUCAUGUCACUAGAAUCAGCAUGAAAAGACUAUAAAAGGAAAAAAGAACUAAACAAAAACUGACUCAAAAUAACAGAAAAUAGGAAAUUGCAUUAGACAGACGGUAAAAGGGUUUGAACAACUAAACAAGCAAAAUACACUAGGGUUACAACCCUGGAAAAACCUAAAUAGCACUAAAGGGUACUACGAUUAAAUGAACUAAGCAAAAUAAAAGGUUAGAAAGGUUUGAAUCACAAGACAAUAUCCAGAUUACAACCCUGAUAUAACCCGGACAAUAGAAAUGACAACGAAAUAAACCACCAAGACUCCUCCCCGGCUAGCUAAGAAAGAAGCGUCUUUCCAAUUACCAAGCUCGGCAUCUUAGCCACUGAGUUCCACAUAAAUAUUACCAAGACCAUUACCAAUUUCAAUAUCACCAAAUUUAUUCAGCAAGUUCCCAAGAGGAUUCUUAUACUCCCUAUCACCAUGUAUCAUCCCUACAAAGUGUGCGUCAUCAUGUGCAGGUAAAGGAUUUUGCACGAUAUUCUGGGUGUAACUGUCCUCGAUCACAAUUAUCCCUUCUUGAAUCAUUCUUUCUAUUUCCCUUUUCAAAGCAAGACAAUCUUAAAUGCUAUGCCCUUGGACAUUAGAGUGAUACAUGUACCGUACAGUAGGAUCAAAACUUUUUGCAUAUGGGUCCGGAGUAUAGCCGAGGAGCGGAUCAAUCAGGCUAGAAUAUUUUACCUUUUCAAACAGGCUUGUGUAGGAUUCUCCGAUUGGUGUGAAUCUAUUUCUUUGUCUUUGUUCCCCUUCAUGCCCCAGUUUUAUAGGGUUGUUAGGUUACGAAGGCAAAAGUGCAUUAUGAUUGCUGGCGAUCUCCAUAAGGAGUGACCCAAUGGUUGGACAGAUGACCGGAUGUUGUUUAGAGGAUAAUACUGGGGUGGAUUAUGUGGAGCUCGAGGAUAGGUUUGGGGUUGGGAUUGAGGCUGAGUAUAUUGGUGAGGCGGACCCGUUGGACCAUGUCGUGAUCCUGAGACAACCAUGGCAACAUCAUCAUGUUCCUUUUGACCCAACAAGCUUCCCGUGUUGUUCUGAAUUGCUUGUGUUAUGGCUUUUAAAGCAGAAUAGCUCAUGAUCUUGCUCGACAUCAGCCCCUCUUCUACCAUUUCUCCCAUUUUUACCACAUUAUUAAAAGGCUUACCCACAACCGAGAUCAAAUUCCCAAAGUAAGUUGGCUCUUGAGCUUGAAGAAAGUACUCAACCAUCUCGUCUUCUUCCAUCAGGGGAUUGACUCGGGCAGCUUGCUCUCUCCAUCUGAGCAUGUAUUCCCUAGAAAUUUCACUAGGCUUCUUUUCCAUCUUGGUGAGGUACAUGCGAUCUGGGAUGAUUUUAUAUUGUACUGAAAGUGCCGGGCAAAGGCCUGAGCCAUAUCGUCCCAUGUGUACUACCUGCUAGCGUCUUGACGGGUGUACCACUAUAGAGCUUCCCCACUCAGACUUUGACUAAAAUACGCCAUCAAUAAUUUGUCCUUCCUAUCGGUACCUCUCAAAUGGGCCACACGAUCUCCAUGUCCGUCAUACAAGUCAAACUUUGGAAUCUUAAACCCAGUAGGUAGUUGGAUGUCAGGAAACAAGCACAAGUCUUUGUAAGACAUGCUCAUAUGGCUCCCUAUCCCUUGCAUGUUUCUUAAGACCGCUCUAAGAUUUUUACCUUCCUAGAUAUCUCAUCGUGCUCUACUGUCUUAGCAGGUUUUUCAUUUUCAACGGAGGCUCAAAAUGAGGAACGUGGGACUAUGGAUCCGAGACUUUGAAAGUUGGUUCUGGAGCAUAGUAUUGGGCAUCAGGGACUUUGAACACGGUGUCGCUAGAGGAUUGAGGAAAAGUAGCUGGUGGAGGAGCUACAAAAACAGGAGUUGUCAAAGGAGCAGGAUAUGAGGUGGUUUUGGCAGGUGGAGUGUGAAAAGGUUGUGGAAAAAUAUCAGCAGCAGUAUGAAGCCGGAUUUGUGAUGGUGGUGGAAUGGUGACGAGGCUUUCAGUGUAGUUAGUGGGAACUAAUGGUGGAGGAUGCCCACUAAUCCAGGCUUGGUAUAUUUAAGUCAUCUGUCCUUUCAACCUUAAGGCCUCUUCUUUCAACUUAGAUUCUGAUUCAAUAAUUCCCUUGGACGAACCAACAACACUUGUGUCCAAGUCUUUGUUAACCAUGGCUACCUUGCUCUUUGACCUUUUGUUGUAUGGAAGAGUUACCAGUUUAAGAACCAUAAAACAACCACCCUUCUGCUAUAAUGAAGAUAGUGAAGAGGAACAAAAUGAAGUCAUCAUGUUAGCGUUAGGGCAUUUAACAACUAAAAAUAUCACAUUGCGUGCAAUGCAUCCAACAACAAUUAACGGUUCAACAAUGAUUUCGAGGGUCACAAGGUCACUUGGCAUCAUCCCAAUUUGUACAUUUCAAUCUUCUCUUUUCUUUUAUUUUCUAGCACUUCUUGGCUUUCUCAUUUUCCUUCCUCUUUUUUUCUAAUUGUCACUCAUUUCUUUCCUCUCAUUUCUCACAUCCCAUAGUUUCCCCUUUUUUUCCUUUUUUUCUUCUUUUUUUCCUUUUUCCUUUUAAUUUUUUUUAAAAAAUAAUUCAAUCGAACCCUAUGUAGUUUGCCUACGUAUCGCUCCUCGAAAGACGAAAAAUAGGUAUGCAUAGUUCGGGAAAAUCGGAUAGGGAGAGAAUUUAAAAAAAACACUAAUUUGAAGUAAAUAUAUUUUUCUCUUUUUCUUAAAAAAUGAUGAAACAUGUAAAAUCUUUUUGGAUUUACUUUUUCUCUUUUUUUUUAUUUUUGAAAAAAUGAUGGGGAAAGUGCAAAAUCGUUUUUGAUUUUUUUUUGAUCUUUUCUUGAAAAAGUGUGAAAGAAAAUUAUAACUAGGCCCUACUUGCUUUAUUUUAUACUUCAACCUUUUUUCUUUCUUAUUUACCCUCAACCCUCAUUGGUCCGCCAAAUAACCCCUUUUACCUUUGAGGAUUGCAACAUGUAGUACAUAGGAAGCAUGAGAAUGGUCUUUUAUUUUUUGGGUACACCUGUCCUAGACGGAUCCAACCCCUGUGUUGAGUCCCUCAAGUCAAAUGCACGUGAUGCAAACAAACGUUCCAACUAGGGUUCCGGCAUGAGGCUAUGUUAUUCUUGGUUUAAAACCCGGGUGUAUUGUUCUAGACCUGGCUUACCCAAGCGGACAACUCAAGCCGGAGGGGGGAGGGGCAGCGUACCAGUAACCAAAAUAUCAUCCGACUUUGCAACUUAUAAAUUAAGGAUAUGAAACUAACAGAAAAGAAGUCACACCAACAUGCGCUUCCUAGAAGAUUUAGAAGAGAAGGGUUUCACAGCAGUUUAUAUACAAUCAAAUAAUAUCAAAGCGGUAAAAAGCGACAUUUAGCAUAUUAGGCCCAAGCAUGUAGUAAAACUCAGAUAAUAAAUAAAAGCCAAAUAUAACAAUUAUUCUAAGCUCAAAUUUUUGAACCCUGAACCAGAGAUUCUGUCUUUGAUCCCCAGCAGAGCCGCCAGAGCUGUCACACCUCCUUUUUCUACCCGAAAGGGGAUAUAAGGGAGUUUUUCAAUUAAAGUGACAAUAAUCGAAAUUGGGUUAUUUAUUCAAAUUCAGAGUCUUCACUUGGGAUAAUAUAUGGUGUCCCAAGUCAUCGGUUUAAAAUCUUGAAUCGAGGAAGUUGACUCUUAUAUAUGGUCUGUGAACACAGAAAUCCCGGUAAGGAAUUCUGUUUACCCAGGAGAAGGUGUUAGACAUUCCCGGCUUUCGUGGUUUUAGCAAGGUCACAUAACUAUUAAUAUUGGCCUAAUUAUCUAAUUUAUUACAUAUCUAGAACCUAGCAUGAAUUUUUAAACCUUUUAAAAAGCGUUUUUAAUUAUUUAUGGAAUUAUUUCUGGAACAAGUUUCGGUUGUCGUACACUUGUAUUUUUGUACCCAUGACGAAUCAUGUCACGGGAACCGUACCCAUGAUCUACAAUAUAUUUAUUUCUUAUUAUUAGAAGUUAAGGUCGGGUCACAUGAAAUGUACACCCGAAUGGGGAUUAUGUAUCAUGACUAUACCAUGGGAACCGUACCCAUAGUCAUGAUUUAUUUAUUAUUCGCGCCUAAAGCAAAGUACGAUGUUUAUAAAUUAUUUUCUAAACUACUUUGAGAUUAUUUCAAGGCCAUGAUCUAUAGAAUUAUUGAAGAAGAGCAUGAAGUAAAUUAAUUUAGGAAAGAUAGCUAGCUUACGAUGUUGAUGGGCUUGGUAGACUAAAAUUAAUUGGCCCAAGAUUUCCAAGUCAUUAGAAUUCAACAGUCCACUUAUACUAUUCAUCUAUAUAACCUGUUAUUCCAUCAAACAAACCUAAGUAUUUAAAUAAAUACAGUACAAUAUUUAAAGCACGGAUCAAGGUGACCUUUUUUAUCCACAAUUAUCUUUCUAGCAGAUUCAUAAAAAUAUAUAUUCGAAAUAACUCUAAAUACUAAAAUAACUUAAUGAAUAGUAAUAGAAGCAUGAGAACAUUUAUGGAUCAAACUAUACAUGGAACAAAAUAUUUAUUACUUAGUUAGAAUCUAAAAGAAUUUGACCUAUCAGUGAAUGCCCUUUUUUCUUCCUCUUAAUCAAGUUAAAUGAAUUAUAUACUAGUGAUCCAACAAUAACCUUUACUGUUAAAUAAAAAGCAUAUGAAGACAAUAUAAGUGACAAUCAAAUGAAUACAUUGAUAAUCUUAAACCGAUAACUUUAUUUCACUAAAUUAAUGAACUGAAAUUGUAAAAAAAACAGGAGUUGAAUCUAACCUUCAAAGCCGAGUUUGAACAUUGUAUUAAAUGAAUUGAGUCGUAAAUAUAAACUUAGCAACUGAACAAUUCUGGACCGGAGAUUUUGUCGGCGACAACGAGCGGAACCAGCGACUGGAGACCUCAAACGGCAAUCUCAAACAAACCUCAAAUCAGUAGCUUCGAACGUAUCUCACUGGAUUCAACUCGACUGAGCUUGGAUGACGGUUUUGGGCGUCACAAUGGCUGUUUUAUGAUGGAUUUCAAUCUUUGGCUACUCUUUGGUGUUUCGCUGGAUUUCUUGCCAGAUCUGUCACCUUCCGUCUCAACAUUAACGGUCAGAAAUUGCUUAACAAAGGAGCUUCGUUUGGGUGGUGGACAGUUGGUCUAGACGGAUUUGUUAGUCCAUUGACAGCUGGAGAUGGUUGGCUAUUUUUGUUGGUUUUUGGGUGGCAGAAUGGAGGUGGAGAUGAGGUGUUCUAGUUGUUGUGGUGGUCGUGAGUGAGAGGUGAAGAAGCAGCAGUGGCUGCUUGUUAUCGGUCACUGGUGUUCCUUUGUCUCUAGGUUAGUGAAGGUGUGUUCUAGGUUGUGAAAAUAUUGAAGAAGAACGACUGAAGCUUAGAGAAGAAGAUAGGAUUAUGGUUUUUUUUU